Molecule: ribosomal RNA, 503 nt
Filed under: uncultured bacterium
Lineage: Bacteria
Description: bacterial SSU rRNA
Rfam family: Bacterial small subunit ribosomal RNA
Source: RNAcentral
ACGCAAUAGAUACCCUGGUAGUCCACACCGUAAACGUUGGGCGCUAGGUGUGGGACUCAUUCCACGAGUUCCGUGCCGCAGCUAACGCAUUAAGCGCCCCGCCUGGGGAGUACGGCCGCAAGGCUAAAACUCAAAGGAAUUGACGGGGGCCCGGCACAAGCGGCGGAGCAUGCGGAUUAAUUCGAUGCAACGCGAAGAACCUUACCUAGGUUUGACAUGUGCGAGAAGCCCCUGGAGACAGGGGUCUCUUUGGACACUCGCAUACAGGUGGUGCAUGGCUGUCGUCAGCUCGCGUCGUGAGAUGUUGGGUUAAGUCCCGCAACGAGCGCAACCCUCGUCUUAUGUUGCCAGCACGUCAUGGUGGGGACUCAUAAGAGACUGCCGGGGUCAACUCGGAGGAAGGUGGGGAUGACGUCAAGUCAUCAUGCCCCUUAUGCCUAGGGUCUUCACGCAUGCUACAAUGGCCGGUACAAAGGGCUGCGAUACCGCAAGGUGGAGCGAAU